Non-coding RNA from Lysinibacillus sp. BF-4, 102 nucleotides. The record is from Rfam. Lineage: Bacteria; Bacillati; Bacillota; Bacilli; Caryophanales; Bacillaceae.
AUAGUUCUAUUCAAAAAUACUCAUAUAAUCGCGAGGAUAUGGCUCGCAAGUUUCUACCGGCUCACCUUAAAUGAGCUGACUAUGGGUUGUUUCGUUUAGGCA